This 71-nucleotide transfer RNA is filed under the name Endocarpon pusillum. Its description in RNAcentral is "tRNA-Gly (GCC) (tRNA-Gly-GCC-1-1)". It matches the Rfam family "tRNA". From Rfam's summary of the family: Transfer RNA (tRNA) molecules are approximately 80 nucleotides in length. Lineage: Eukaryota; Fungi; Ascomycota; Eurotiomycetes; Verrucariales; Verrucariaceae. RNAcentral also lists the same sequence under 1 other name. The record is from RNAcentral.
GCGCAGAUGGUUCAGUGGCAGAAUCUACCGUUGCCAUCGGUAGGACUCGGGUUCGAUUCCCGAUCCGCGCA